RNAcentral lists this small nuclear RNA (160 nucleotides) under Phocoena sinus (vaquita). RNAcentral describes it as "U2 spliceosomal RNA (ENSPSNG00000022052.1)". It matches the Rfam family "U2 spliceosomal RNA". Rfam says of the family: U2 is a small nuclear RNA (snRNA) component of the spliceosome (involved in pre-mRNA splicing). Lineage: Eukaryota; Metazoa; Chordata; Mammalia; Artiodactyla; Phocoenidae. The record is from RNAcentral.
GUCGCUUCUCGGCCUUUUGGCUAAGAUCGAGUGUAGUAUCUGUUCUUACCCAUAGGUUCUUAAUGACUUUUUUUUUCCCUUAGAUUCCAUAUAUAUGUGUUAGCAUACAGUAUUUGUUUUUCUCUUUCUGACUUACUUCACUCUGUAUGACAGACUCUAG